Molecule: non-coding RNA, 100 nt
Submitted as: unclassified sequences
Source: Rfam
AAUGAGUGAGUAGUUUGCCGAGAUACUAAAGGGUAUGCUUAAUGUAUACCAGCAGGCUUGCCUUGUGGAAUUCUUUAGUCGGAGGAAAACUCAUUUUUUU